GGUUAUCGAGGUUCCUGAUCUAUGUCAGGAGAGUCCAUUAGGAUUUGCGAAUUAUCGUACUUCUAUGGCUCUGACCCACACACACUGUUGCUUCCACGCAUACGUGCGUUGGCCCGGAUCAAUCUAGUAUCAGAGCCAAUCUUUUAUGUCAGAGAGGAGAUCUGUCGAUUUCUUAGCCGUAUAGAGCGUGACCAGACAGGUAGUGUGGUAAAUC
Molecule: long non-coding RNA, 214 nt
Filed under: Elaeis guineensis (African oil palm)
Lineage: Eukaryota; Viridiplantae; Streptophyta; Magnoliopsida; Arecales; Arecaceae
Description: long non-coding RNA (EGUI_LNC041960)
Source: RNAcentral